UUUAUGCUAAGUGGGAAACGAUGUGGGAAGGCUCAGACAGCUAGGAGGUUGGCUUAGAAGCAGCCACCCUUUAAAGAAAGCGUAAUAGCUCACUAGUCGAGUCGGCCCGCGCGGAAGAUAUAACGGGGCUAAGCAUAACACCGAAGCUACGGAUGCACUUUGUGCAUGGUAGAGGAGCGUUCUGUAAGCGGUUGAAGCGAAAGCCGAGAGGCAUCGUGGAGGUAUCAGAAGUGCGAAUGCUGACAUGAGUAACGAUAAGGGAGGUGAAAACCCUCCCCGCCGGAAGACCAAGGGUUCCUGUCCAACGCUUUUCGUGGCAGGGUGAGUCGGCCCCUAAGGAGAGGCUGAAGAGCGUAUCCGAUGGGAAACUGGUUAAUAUUCCAGUACUGAUUAUAACUGCGAUGGGGUGACGGAGUAGGCUAGGCUAGCGCGGCGUUGGUUGUCCGCGUUUAAGGUAGUAGGCUAAGGACUUAGGUAAAUCCGGGUCCUUGUUAGGCUGAGAACCGAUGACGAGUUCCUAUAUGGAAUGAAGUAGUUGAUGCCAUGCUUCCAGGAAAAACCUCUAAGCUUCAGGUUAUAACUAACCGUACCCAAACCGACACAGGUGGUCAGGUAGAGAAUACUAAGGCGUAUGAGAAAACUCGGGUGAAGGAACUAGGCAAAAUGGCACCGUAACUUCGGGAGAAGGUGCGCCGGUUUUUGGUGAGGGGACUUGCUCCCUAAGCUGAGGCCGGUCGAAGAUACCAGGUGGCUGCGACUGUUUAUUAAAAACAUAGCACUCUGCAAACUCGAAAGAGGACGUAUAGGGUGUGACGCCUGCCCGGUGCCUGAAGGUUAAUUGAUGGGGUUAGCGUAAGCGAAGCUCUUGAUCGAAGCCCAAGUAAACGGCGGCCGUAACUAUAACGGUCCUAAGGUAGCGAAAUUCCUUGUCGGUAAGUUCCGACCUGCACGAAUGGCGUAACGAUGGCCACACUGUCUCCACCCGAGACUCAGUGAAAUUGAAAUCGCAGUGAAGAUGCUGUGUAUCCGCGGCUAGACGGAAAGACCCCGUGAACCUUUACUAUAGCUUCACAGUGAACUUUGAACCUACUUGUGUAGGAUAGGUGGGAGGCUUUGAAGAUAGGACGCCAGUUCUAUUGGAGCCAAUCUUGAAAUACCACCCUGGUACGUUUGAGGUUCUAACUCAGGUCCCUUAUCGGGAUCGAGGACACUGUGUGGUGGGUAGUUUGACUGGGGCGGUCUCCUCCCAAAGAGUAACGGAGGAGCACGAAGGUGUGCUCAGCAUGGUCGGAAAUCA
This 1297-nucleotide ribosomal RNA is filed under the name Cylindrotheca closterium. RNAcentral describes it as "bacterial LSU rRNA". It matches the Rfam family "Bacterial large subunit ribosomal RNA", at positions 1053 to 2340 of the family's 2925-position model. The record is from RNAcentral. Lineage: Eukaryota; Bacillariophyta; Bacillariophyceae; Bacillariales; Bacillariaceae.